AAGCUAUCUGAUCCUGCUAGCUCGCAAUAUAUCUACUUGUUGUAGCUAGCUAGCUACAUUACUAAGGUUGCUGUGUUCUAAAUUGGGAGUCAUUUUACAGCUAGCAUUGAUGGUAUCACGUUCGUACAACUAAAUAGUUUGAUUACAAAUAAAUAACAUAUACUUUAUCUGGUAGCAGUUUGUAAGAUGAGAUCUCUCUCGAGAUGUCACAAGCUGUCUACUACCUUAGAUAUGGAUUACAGCACAAUAUGGGAUCAGCAUACUUUAUAAAAAUCAGCUCCUCUGCAGAGAGGUCCUCUCUCCUCUACAGAGAUCGAUAAUCUCGAAAACUAAAGCAAAUAGCUUGCUAGGGCCAACCACCUAAAUAUAAAUUGUAGAAAGAGGUAGGGUUUAUGACUUUGUGGCUGUGGUAACUCUAGUGACAUCCGACCAGGCAGGCGUUUUUUAAUCUUCAAACCAAACGAGAACUGUGUUUGGUUUUUUUUGGAAGAGGAAAUGGUUACAGAAAUGUUACCACAACACCCCACAGCCAGAUGCAGAGGCAAACUGAAAGAGAGUCAUUAGUCAAUGGACACCCCAGACAGAAUCGGAGAGGGACAUGAAAAAGCUAAGGCUGCGUCGCCAUAGAUAGACAGGCUUUGGCCAUUUGCCUAAAAUAACUGCUGAUUUGAGGCGGCAACUGAAGACAUGUCAGACGCCCCCUCAAUGUCUGAUGUGGAGACGGACCCAGAAGACCCCAAAGUAUUUUUUUUGUGGCAUCUCCAUGCUGGCGCUCCCCUGAGUUAGUCUGCCGACUGAUUGGUCGGCAGACUAGAGAAGAAGGGCCAAGUGCUCUUAUGAGGAUAAAAAGUGCCGGUAGAAGGAAAACCAGUCCAAUCGUCCACUUCUACCAUAGCUCUACCCAGAACAUCUGAUUUUGCCAUGAACAGACUGGUCAAUGGAGCAUUGUGUAAGCUCUACAUAGUCAAUCAUCUGCACCUUGGAGAAUAUUUUCACGGACUCUCCUCACAUGUGCUUCUCAAGAUACUUUUUGCACUGACUCUCUUACACAAAACACACACACCAUCACUAUUUAUACUUUUUUUAAUGUCACCAGCUCAACCAUUGCAAUACAGUGCAAUUGUAUUUCAGUAUUUCAUUUCACUGGUUUUGCUUAUUUGUUGGAUUUGUAUUUCAAUACUUUUUAAGCAUACAUUUUCUGUCAUUAAGCAUAUUGUUUUUGUUAUUUGCUUAUUUUUGGGAAGUUUUUUUGUAAUAUUUCUUACCUAUGCCUUAUGUAAUAUUCUUUUUGUAUUCAUAUUCUAAUUUAAUCUGACACAUGCUGCUGUAUUUUAUAAGUUGUAUGACAUUUGAAAACAUU
Long non-coding RNA from Oncorhynchus tshawytscha (Chinook salmon), 1360 nucleotides. RefSeq lists it as uncharacterized. The transcript is spliced from 3 exons. The record is from RefSeq and is a predicted model, not a curated record. Lineage: Eukaryota; Metazoa; Chordata; Actinopteri; Salmoniformes; Salmonidae.